Molecule: transfer RNA, 81 nt
Filed under: Pseudocercospora eumusae
Lineage: Eukaryota; Fungi; Ascomycota; Dothideomycetes; Mycosphaerellales; Mycosphaerellaceae
Description: Mycosphaerella eumusae tRNA
Rfam family: tRNA
About the family: Transfer RNA (tRNA) molecules are approximately 80 nucleotides in length.
Source: Rfam by way of RNAcentral
GGCUCGGUAGCUAAGUUGGCUAAGGCAUCUACGCUACUAUUAGUAGCGUAGCUAUCGUAGGUUCGAUCCCUACCCGAGUUA